UUUGAAAUCUGGCUUCGGCCCGAGUUGUAAUUUGCAGAGGAUGUUUCUGGCGCGGUGCCUUCCGAGUUCCCUGGAACGGGACGCCACAGAGGGUGAGAGCCCCGUAUGGUCGGACACCAAGCCUGUGUGAAACUCCUUCGACGAGUCGAGUAGUUUGGGAAUGCUGCUCUAAAUGGGAGGUAAAUCUCUUCUAAAGCUAAAUACCGGCCAGAGACCGAUAGCGCACAAGUAGAGUGAUCGAAAGAUGAAAAGCACCUUGAAAAGGGGGUUAAAUAGUACGUGAAAUUGUUGAAAGGGAAGCACUUAUGACCAGACUUGGGCCGGGCGGCUCAUCAGGGGUUCUCCCCUGUGCACUCCGCCCGGCACAGGCCAGCAUCGGUUUUCGCGGGGGGAUAAGACCGACGGGAACGUAGCACCCUCCGGGGUGUGUUAUAGCCCGGCGGACGAUACCCUCGCGGGGACCGAGGUCCGCGCUCCGCAAGGAUGCUGGCGUAAUGGUCAUCAGUGACCCGUCUUGAAACACGGACCAAGGAGUCGUCCAUUAGAGCGAGCGUUUGGGUGUAAAACCCGCACGCGUAAUGAAAGUGAACGCAGGUGAGAGCUUCGGCGCAUCAUCGACCGAUCCUGAUGUUCUCGGAAGGAUUUGAGUAAGAGUUUUAACGGACGGACCCGAAAGACAGUGAACUAUGCUUGUAUAGGGUGAAGCCAGAGGAAACUCUGGUGGAGGCUCGCAGCGGUUCUGACGUGCAAAUCGAUCGUCAAAUAUGAGCAUGGGGGCGAAAGACUAAUCGAACUGUCUAGUAGCUGGUUACCGCCGAAGUUUCCCUCAGGAUAGCAGUGUUGAUCUUCAGUUUUAUGAGGUAAAGCGAAUGAUUAGGGACUCGGGGGCUAUAUAUUGCCUUCAUCCAUUCUCAAACUUUAAAUAUGUAAGAAGCCCUUGUUACUUAGUUGAACGUGGGCAUUCGAAUGUACCAACACUAGUGGGCCAUUUUUGGUAAGCAGAACUGGCGAUGCGGGAUGAACCGAACGCGGGGUUAAGGCGCCAGAGUGUACGCUCAUCAGACACCACAAAAGGCGUUAGUACA
Molecule: ribosomal RNA, 1085 nt
Filed under: Phomopsis sp. RP257
Lineage: Eukaryota; Fungi; Ascomycota; Sordariomycetes; Diaporthales; Diaporthaceae
Description: eukaryotic LSU rRNA
Rfam family: Eukaryotic large subunit ribosomal RNA
Source: RNAcentral